RNAcentral lists this ribosomal RNA (1232 nucleotides) under metagenome. RNAcentral's name for it is "bacterial SSU rRNA". It matches the Rfam family "Bacterial small subunit ribosomal RNA", at positions 35 to 1236 of the family's 1533-position model. The record is from RNAcentral.
GCUGGCGGCGUGCCUAACACAUGCAAGUCGAACGAGAAACCUCGGGCUUGCUCGAGGGAGUAAAGUGGCGCACGGGUGAGUAACGCGUGGGUAACCUGCCCUUGGAUCGGGGAUAACUUCGCGAAAGCGUAGCUAAUACCGGAUAAUGUGCUGUUGACUUCGGUCUUCAGGAUGAAAGAUGACCUCUUCAUGAAAGUUGUCGUUCAGGGAGGGGCCCGCGUACCAUUAGCUUGUUGGUGGGGUAAUGGCCCACCAAGGCAACGAUGGUUAGCUGGUCUGAGAGGAUGAUCAGCCACACUGGAACUGAAACACGGUCCAGACUCCUACGGGAGGCAGCAGUGAGGAAUUUUGCGCAAUGGGGGAAACCCUGACGCAGCAACGCCGCGUGAGUGAAGAAGGCUUUCGGGUCGUAAAGCUCUGUCAAGUGGGAAAAAAAGCUCUCGAUUAAUAGUCGGGAGACCUGAUGGUACCACUGGAGGAAGCACCGGCUAACUCCGUGCCAGCAGCCGCGGUAAUACGGAGGGUGCAAGCGUUGUUCGGAAUUACUGGGCGUAAAGAGCGUGUAGGCGGUUUGGCAAGUCAGAUGUGAAAGCCCUGGGCUCAACCCAGGAAGUGCAUUUGAAACUGCCAUCCUUGAGUAUGGGAGAGGAGAGUGGAAUUCCCAAUGUAGAGGUGAAAUUCGUAGAUAUUGGGAGGAACACCCGUGGCGAAGGCGACUCUCUGGACCAAUACUGACGCUGAGACGCGAAAGCGUGUGGAGCAAACAGGAUUAGAUACCCUGGUAGUCCACGCCGUAAACGAUGAGAACUAGGUGUAGCGGGUAUUGACCCCUGCUGUGCCGAAGUUAACGCACUAAGUUCUCCGCCUGGGGAGUACGGCCGCAAGGCUAAAACUCAAAGGAAUUGACGGGGGCCCGCACAAGCGGUGGAGCAUGUGGUUUAAUUCGACGCAACGCGAAGAACCUUACCUGGGUUUGACAUCCUUUGACCGUCUGGGAAACCAGAUUUUUCCGACUUUGUCGGAACAGAGUGACAGGUGCUGCAUGGCUGUCGUCAGCUCGUGUCGUGAGAUGUUGGGUUAAGUCCCGCAACGAGCGUAACCCUUGUCUUUAGUUGCCAUUAUUAAGUUAGGCACUCUAAAGAGACCGCCUCGGUUAACGGGGAGGAAGGUGGGGAUGACGUCAAGUCCUCAUGGCCUUUAUAUCCAGGGCUACACACGUGCUACAAUGGGCU